AUGACCUUCCUGUGCCCAUCUGGGCCCUCUCGCAGUUUCCUCACUUGGAUACUUCUCUAGAGGCAGGGCUAAAACUUCCCUUUGUCCAUCCCCAGUGUGUGACCUAUCCCACCUCCCCUGCUGGUGUGGUCACCAGGCACGCUGGGCUCAUAGAUAGGUUUUAUUCCCUUCCAGCCUGCUGGAAACAAUUUUAAAAAAGGAUCUAAAAAUAAAUAUGUUUUUUCUCACAGCUUCAUGUAAUGUGCCAAUUUGAUCAGCCUGCUUUAUUAAUUGAAAUAAAGUUAUUAAUUGAAAAUGUCGAGUAUUACUGUGAAGAGAAAAGAGCUCUGAGACUUCAUGUUAGGUAUCUUUCCCUGCUAGCAGCUCAUUAGAUUUUCAACCUUUGCAUCCAAUUAAUCAACUUUUCACAAUUUUACCUAAUUAUGCCAUAAGUCACCCCUCGUUCUCAUCCACAAAAAAUGCUAUUAAAAGCUAUUCUCAAUAUCUUGCAGAAAAACAAGUUCUGCAUGUAUAGAAAAUUCUCUGGUAAACUUAAUAAGCAAGGAAGGCAGGAAAGAAGAUUAAAAACAAAGAAACAAAAGGAGGAUGGAGCGGGAAAAGGGAGGGAGGAGGGAAAUGUGGAGGGAGGAAAUGAAUAAGAACCAAAAACAAAAGAAAAAUGAAUCAGAAGAAAGAAAGAAAGUCCCAUUAUUGAGCUUCACUCAGUUCACCAUAAGCAGCGGUGCUCACUGCAAUUCUUUCCAAGUGUUCACAGAUCAAGGGUUUAUUAGUCCAUUGUACAAUGUGAUUUUCAUGAUUUAAAAAAAUUCAUAGAGUUCUUCAUCCCAACCAAAGUCUUAUCUGAAAAAAGCAAAGUAUUGAUGUUUGGGUUUAGGGUCUCAGGGCUGGACCUCUCUUCCUCACCUCCAGCCCUUCCUCUUGGGCUCCUAUCCUUGUGAUUUCAGCUAGGAGCCCAGGAACAGGAAGAACCAUUGGCAUCGACAACCAACAUUUGUAAAACUGCAGUUCCGUAGAUUUCUUUCUGGAACUGCUUCAGGCUCACCAAUCUGCAGUACAGAUAAUCUAUUCUGUCUUCUAUUUAUUGGAAACCAGGAUGUUAUUUUCUGCCUCCAAUUUUCUAGCGACCUUCCAUUUCCCACAAGGCCUCAAAACGUUAUUAGCAGCAGACUAGGGCAUCCUUCCCCAAGUUCCCUUGGAACCGAGGAUACAAUUUGUCUGGAUCAUGUGGAACACCAGGUCCACUCUAUAAAUUAUCUCACCUCUCUUGCAGCUCAAUUCCCAGCUGACACUAUGUGCUCUACCCUCUCGGCGGAAGGAUCAUUUCCUCUGACAAAGUAGCUAAAACUUUGUGAGGUGAAGGAGUUCUGUUUUUCCCCUGUCGUCUGUUAACAUUAUACCAUCUGUCCCAAGCAGCAGGCUUACUUUUGUCUUCUCCUUGCUUUUAACACGCCUGAAAAAGCCCUUUGGUACUGUUGACAUUUUUCUGAAGCCGCAUUUUGUUCAGGGUUAGCGGUUUCCUGAUGUAAUUUGUAUACGUUUACAACACUUUUAAUAUGAGUUCUUGGACAUGUAAACCAAUUUCCAUGUUUUGUGCAUGACGAAUUCCACUUUAAAUCAACAGAACCUAAGCGUUAGUUGAUGUUCUAUAUUAUAGACUUGAGCUCUUCAAAAUGCUCUUUCUGGAAAAAGCAAUGCCACAAUACUUUUUACUCUUUCUCAACUUUUACUCAUUCCUGUUGGAAUCCCUCAUUUGGGGGAAUUUUUAGUUUGUGAGCUCUCAAUCCCUGCCAAACUACUUUCCCUUUUAAAGUCCCAGGAUGAGGUCCCAUAAGUAUCUUUACUUUUACCUCGUAUAAUCUACAUUCCUGCACUUUCCACUGCUUAUGUGACAUUAUCUGCUUGGCAUCUCCUGUUCUAGUUACAAUCGUGUAUUCAGCCACCAUUAUUUGAUGGUCAUCACUAAGUACAGAGUACCCGUUCCAAUUAUUACUUGUCCUGUGUUGUGAAAAAUGAAAAUAUAAUUCAAGAUCUCUGGUAUGGGUUGAAUUGUGUCCUCACAAAAAUUCAAAACUUGAAAUCCUAAACUCCAGUACCUCAGAUUGGGACCUAACUGGGAAAUAAUGUCAUUGCAGAUGUAAUUAAUUGUCUUAACGAGAGUAGGGUAAGUCCCUCAUUCAAUAGGACUGGUGUCCUUAUUUUAAAAAGGGAAAAUUUGGACCCCGACACACACCAGGAGAACCCAGUGUGAACAUGAAGGCCGAGAUCAGAGUGAUUCAUCUACAAAGCAAAAAUGCCAAAGAUUUCCAACAAAUCUAGGAGGCAGGCAUGAAACAGAUUUUCCUUCACCACACUCAAAAGGAAACAACCCCGCCUCCAGCACUGGGGGACACUAAGUGCCUCUUGUUUAAGCCACCCAGUUUGCAGUGUUUUGUUAUCUCACCCUAGGAAACUAAUACAACCAGUUAUAAAGUCAUCAAAUUGUAUGCUUUUAAAAGAAUUUGUCUUCCAGAUGAAUCCUCAUAAUAAGAAACUCCCAUUACUCUAGGAACUUGUAUAUUUCCUUUAUCAGUUUUUUUCUUUCAAUUUUUCCUAAAUUUUAUCAUCCAUUUUCUCCAUCUGGCUGGCAAGUCUUACCUCUAUGUAAAUUUUACCUUUGUUUUGUUUAUUUCUUGGUCAUCCUAAAGAGAGGACACUCAAAGUUUUCUUUACUAAGUUGCUUGGCACUUUCUCAUGGUUGCCCAUAGAGAAUAAUAUUCACAUCUAUGAGCUCAGGAGUUGGAUUGCGGAUUUUAUAUCUUUACUAACAAAUGACCUUAACCAAGUCUUUUUAAAUUUCUUCAGGUCCCAUUUUCCACAUCUACAUCUGAUGAUUUAACUAAAAAGUGCGAAAAAAAACUUAGCCAGUAAGUUAGUGGAGAUGAUUAAACAAGCUAAUGGGUGGAAGAAGUUUAGAAUUAUAAUAUAUAUUAAAUACUCAAUAAAAUUUAGUUAUAAUAAUCUAUGGACUCUAGUUCUUUUUUUGUUUUUAAUUUAACCAAAGAUUUUUUUUUUUCCUCUCUCCCUUCCCCCUCUCUACUUUUAGAUUAAAAACCUACUGAUUAUAUUGGCAAUAUCUGGGUCACCGUUCUUUUUUCCCUACCAAGUAAUUCAAUCCAAAUCAAAGACAUAUUUUCAUAGAUUAAAACAUGUCAAGGAAAAUAAAUCCUGUUUUUCUACACAGCUACCAUUUUUUCACUCCCAAUUUUCUUUCUUCUCUAAACUUAUAAUCUUCCAUUGUAAGAAGAGGUCAAGUCAAAUAUAUCUUCGAGCCCUUUUGUUUUCUACCUGAAUGUGUAUAGUUCCUUAGAGAUUCCUUGCCAAUUGAUCUGGCAGUGGCAUUUGCUACAAUAUAGGCCAACGGGAAGAAGGUCAUUUCAAAAUUUCAUCAGACCCUCUGCCAUGGAAACGGUAAUUCAUGUGGGAAGGCAAUCCACUUCCCUCCUCAUAAUAGCCUGUCCACAAAAACUGGCCCUUACACUUCCGUCACCAGCCGUUAACAGCCUUGGGGGUAUUUUUCUUGGGGGCCACCAACAGAUUUCCUCGAAUCUGUUAUUGACUAAAAAUCCUCUUUAUUGUUGUGAGAAACAGAGGCUGCAUUUCCUCUUUAGAUUUAUCAAUUCUGCUCAUGUGAAACGGAAUUAACCUGUCAUACAGCACUGUUGGUUCAAAGCUUCCCUUCUUUGUUAUCAGUUUUUUUAGUCACGAGCCAAGUUUUGCUGAUUUGGAUUGCCUUCCACUUCCUCCCACUAUCCCCCAUCCCUCCCCCUUCUUAAAAUACGGGUUAUGUCUUAUGUGCAAUAGAGGAAUAUUUCAACCCCAGUAAUCUUCAUCAAACACAAGUUCUUUCCAUUCUUUCACCUUCUCUUUUGCUUUAAAAUUCAGUAGUUCAGGAGUUCCCAUCGUGGCUCAUUGGCUAACGAAUCCGACUAGGAACCAUGAGGUUGCCGGUUCGAUCCCUGGCCUUGCUCAGAGGGUUAAGGAUCCAGCGUUGCCGUGAGCUGUGGUGUAGGUUGAAGACGUGGCUCGGAUCCUGUGUUGCUGUGGCUCUGGCAUAGGCCGGCAGCUACACCUCCAAUUAGACCCCUAGCCUGAGAACCUCCAUAUGCUGCAAGUGCAGCCCUAGAAAAGACUAAAUAAAUAAAUAAAUAAAAAUAAAAUUCAGAAGUUCAUAAUAAUUGGCCAGGUGAUUAGCACUAGUCCUCUAGCUGUUUUUCCAUCACAAGAUCCAAACACAGAUGUAAUCAGCCAUAUCACAGACAGCACUGCUAAAAACUUUUGAACAAAUUUCUGCUUUAUUAAACUUUUUUUAAAAAUCAUGCUUCUCUUCCCUCUUUGGCAGACCUUUAA
This 4386-nucleotide long non-coding RNA is filed under the name Sus scrofa (pig). RNAcentral's name for it is "lncRNA (ENSSSCG00000057875.1)". Lineage: Eukaryota; Metazoa; Chordata; Mammalia; Artiodactyla; Suidae. The record is from RNAcentral.